GGGAUAUAGCAAAUACCCCUGGAGGAAAUACCAUCUGGAGGAAAUAAAGCCAAUGAGCAAAGAGAAACACAGCUGAGAGAUGUAAAGGCGUCACCCCCUGAACAUUUGAUUUGCAGUAACCUGUGUUUCCUUCUGCACAAAGUACUUGAAUCGUCUCUCCUCUAACACAAUUCAUAUCAGAAUUGUGCAAAUGGAAGUAUCCAAGAAAACAACUCUAGUCCCAGGUUACCCGGUUGGUAGCUGGUACAGUGGGGCCAGAGCCCACGCACAAGCAUUUC
Long non-coding RNA from Cervus elaphus (red deer), 278 nucleotides. RefSeq lists it as uncharacterized. Lineage: Eukaryota; Metazoa; Chordata; Mammalia; Artiodactyla; Cervidae. The record is from RefSeq and is a predicted model, not a curated record. The transcript has 3 exons.